This 484-nucleotide ribosomal RNA is filed under the name uncultured bacterium. RNAcentral describes it as "partial 16S ribosomal RNA". It matches the Rfam family "Bacterial small subunit ribosomal RNA", at positions 899 to 1397 of the family's 1533-position model. The record is from RNAcentral.
ACUCAAAUGAAUAGACGGGGACCCACACAAGCGGUGGAGCAUGGGGUUUAAUUCGAUAGUAAGCGAAGAACCUCACCUAGGCUUGACAUCUCGGGAAUCCGGCAGAAACGUCGGAGUGCCGCAAGGAACCCGAAGACAGGCGCUGCACGGUUGUCGUCAGCUCGUGCCUUGAGGUGUACUGUUAAGUCAGCGAACGAGCGCAACCCUCAUCCUAUGUUGUUUUUUCAUGGGAGACUGCCGCCUCCAAGGCGGAGGAAGGUGGGGAUGACGUCAAAUCAGCGUGGCCCUUAUGCCUAGGGCAACACCCGUGCUACAAUGGCCGGUACAAACCGUCGCGAAUCCGCAAGGAGGAGCCAAUCGGAGAAAGCCGGUCUCAGUUCGGAUUGAAGUCUGCAACUCGACUUCAUGAAGUUGGAAUCGCUAGUAACCGUGAAUCAGCUACGUCACGGUGAAUAUGUUCCUGGGUCUUGCACACACCGCCCGU